GGAUGCGAUCAUACCAGCACUAAAGCACCGGAUCCCUUCAGAACUCCGAAGUUAAGCGUGCUUGGGCGAGAGUAGUACUAGGAUGGGUGACCUCCUAGGAAGUCCUCGUGUUGCAUUCC
Molecule: ribosomal RNA, 119 nt
Filed under: Triticum aestivum (bread wheat)
Lineage: Eukaryota; Viridiplantae; Streptophyta; Magnoliopsida; Poales; Poaceae
Also listed under: 1 other name
Source: RNAcentral